Molecule: long non-coding RNA, 1241 nt
Filed under: Rattus norvegicus (Norway rat)
Lineage: Eukaryota; Metazoa; Chordata; Mammalia; Rodentia; Muridae
Description: long non-coding RNA NONRATT017883
Source: RNAcentral
CUCAUGAUAGUGGCCACCCAUUCCUCUGAGCAUCGUGGAAUGCUCAGGUCCAAGACCAGAGUGACAAGAUGGUGCUGACCCAGUGUUGGAACUAGGCUGAGGCCUAUGGCAGCUGGGUCCUCCAGGUAGAGGAUGACCUCAGGAGGAGGUGGAGAGGUCAGACUGUUAGGUUUGGACCAUGACAGGUCCCCCAAGCCGUUCCAGUUGUCUACUUUGCACCCUCUAGGCAACCUGCUGUUCUCUCCUGCUCGCUUAUCCUGUGCUCCCCACCCCUAUCUCAGCAUGUUGGGAGGCAGGGUUUCUCUGUGUAGCCCUGUGUAUCCUGGAACUCACUCUGUAGACCAGGCUGGCUUUGAACUCACAGAGAUCCACCUACUUCUGCCUCCCAAGUGCUGGGAUUAAAGGCCAUGCGCCACCACUGUGUACCCAGCUUGGGAGCUUCUCUUUGGACUGUGAAGUAUUAAGGGAGAACGGGCCCAUGUCCACCCCUAUCCCCGCCCUACCCCCCCUCUGUAUAUGCCUGCCCCCACAGGCAGCUUCUUUUCUGAUGGCCUGGGAGUUAACUAGAUGUCUGGGUAGACUUUGAUUUGCUCCCUCCUUCAGGAUUUCCUUUCUCCUCUUAGGCAGAGAAGGGGCCCGAGGGUGGGCAAGGUAGGAUAUGUAUUGACUUCCAGUGCUCUGCCCACCCUCUGUGCCCACCAGCUAGAACAAGAGAUUCCAUUUCUUUCUCCUAUCGUGGGUCUCUGCACAUGCCCUGGCCUUCCUCUCCACUCUUCUCCUCUUCCCUGCCUCCUCCCUCCCCCACCUCUGACUCAAAGAAGCUCCCUCAGUUGUCACCAUGGAAACCAAGAUAGUGAACUUUGGAUGGGUCCCUCCAUCUCAGGAGGCUGCUUGCUGCAGGCAUUGUCGAGGGUCUGGGGCCUCUGUAUAUGAAGGCCCAUCACUCCUCAGGGGAGGGCCUGCCCCAGCCCAGACUGGAAGAGGAGAUCGAUUCUCUGGCCCGGGAGCUGGCACUGAAGGAGAAGGAGGCUGGGCACCCAAGGCUCACAGCACAGCCCUUGCCUGAGGCUUCCCAGAAGCUCCUGGAACCUGCAGCUACCCUGGGAUUCUCACAGUGGGGUCAACAACUGGAGCCUGGCCUCCCCUCUACUCACGGAACCUCUUCGCCCACACCCCACACCUCCUUGAGCGCCCGGGCAUCCUCUGGGCCUGUGCAGAUGUCCCCGCUGGAGCCUCAAGGC